RNAcentral lists this ribosomal RNA (506 nucleotides) under uncultured bacterium. RNAcentral describes it as "partial 16S ribosomal RNA". It matches the Rfam family "Bacterial small subunit ribosomal RNA", at positions 29 to 523 of the family's 1533-position model. The record is from RNAcentral.
AGUGAACGCUGGCGGUAGGCCUAACACAUGCAAGUCGAACGGCAGCACAGGAGAGCUUGCUCUCUGGGUGGCGAGUGGCGGACGGGUGAGGAAUACAUCGGAAUCUACUUUUUCGUGGGGGAUAACGUAGGGAAACUUACGCUAAUACCGCAUACGACCUACGGGUGAAAGCAGGGGAUCUUCGGACCUUGCGCGAUUGAAUGAGCCGAUGUCGGAUUAGCUAGUUGGCGGGGUAAAGGCCCACCAAGGCGACGACCCGUAGCUGGGCUGAGAGGAUGAUCAGCCACACUGGAACUGAGACACGGUCCAGACUCCUACGGGAGGCAGCAGUGGGGAAUAUUGGACAAUGGGCGCAAGCCUGAUCCAGCCAUACCGCGUGGGUGAAGAAGGCCUUCGGGUUGUAAAGCCCUUUUGUUGGGAAAGAAAUCCAGCUGGUUAAUACCCGGUUGGGAUGACGGUACCCAAAGAAUAAGCACCGGCUAACUUCGUGCCAGCAGCCGCCGUAA